RNAcentral lists this ribosomal RNA (426 nucleotides) under Triticum aestivum (bread wheat). RNAcentral describes it as "partial small subunit ribosomal RNA". Lineage: Eukaryota; Viridiplantae; Streptophyta; Magnoliopsida; Poales; Poaceae. The record is from RNAcentral.
GUGAAUAGUAAUAGGGCCCCUGGUCCUGACAACAUUCCACCGGAGUUUUAUCAACACUGUUGGGAGAUUGUGAAGGGGGCUAUUAUGAGACUUUUUGAAGCCUUGUAUGAGGGUACUCUCGAUGUUCAAAGGUUAAACUAUGGGAUCAUUACUUUGAUUCCUAAGAUCAAUGGUGCGAACAAAAUCCAACAGUUUAGACCUAUUUGCUUGCUUAGGUGCCCAUAUAAGUUGAUCACAAAGGUGUUAGACUACAGAGCAUCCCUUUAUGCUGACAUCCUGUUUAGCAAACACCAAAAUGCCUUUAUUAAACACACGAGUAUUAUGGAUGGGGUUCUUACGUUGCAUGAAAUUUUGCACCAUGCGCAUGUUAAGAAGAGAGUUGGCAUCAUUAUCAAGCUUGAUUUGAAAAAGCUUACGAUAAGGUAA